Molecule: long non-coding RNA, 270 nt
Filed under: Elaeis guineensis (African oil palm)
Lineage: Eukaryota; Viridiplantae; Streptophyta; Magnoliopsida; Arecales; Arecaceae
Description: long non-coding RNA (EGUI_LNC004521)
Source: RNAcentral
GGGCUUGUUGGACUCCGUUCGUCAUCGCAGAUCUAAUUGUGGGCUCAAUGUGGACCAAAUCUUGAGGUAUCAAAUCUUAACACAAAGUACCAAUCCUCUCAUGCCACCUCAUAAGCCAGCUAAGCCGGGAAGCUUGGCAUUUUUUUCAUUCCGGGAUUGGGUUGAGAACAUGAAUAGGAAGUAACAAAAGCUACAACAUCAAACAUUAAAUGGGUUCAUGCCAAACAACCAAAGAGAGAGGCGCCAUAAUUUAUUGUUGUGGUUGGUACU